CAGGAUAUAGUUUAUGGAAAAUUUUAAUUUUGGAGAUUAAGGAAGGGUAAAACUCUAUUCUGA
Molecule: transfer RNA, 63 nt
Filed under: Trigonopterus singkawangensis
Lineage: Eukaryota; Metazoa; Arthropoda; Insecta; Coleoptera; Curculionidae
Description: tRNA-Pro
Source: RNAcentral